RNAcentral lists this ribosomal RNA (603 nucleotides) under Streptococcus mutans. Its description in RNAcentral is "bacterial SSU rRNA". It matches the Rfam family "Bacterial small subunit ribosomal RNA", at positions 375 to 971 of the family's 1533-position model. The record is from RNAcentral. Lineage: Bacteria; Bacillati; Bacillota; Bacilli; Lactobacillales; Streptococcaceae.
ACGAAAGUCUGACCGAGCAACGCCGCGUGAGUGAAGAAGGUUUUCGGAUCGUAAAGCUCUGUUGUAAGUCAAGAACGUGUGUGAGAGUGGAAAGUUCACACAGUGACGGUAGCUUACCAGAAAGGGACGGCUAACUACGUGCCAGCAGCCGCGGUAAUACGUAGGUCCCGAGCGUUGUCCGGAUUUAUUGGGCGUAAAGGGAGCGCAGGCGGUCAGGAAAGUCUGGAGUAAAAGGCUAUGGCUCAACCAUAGUGUGCUCUGGAAACUGUCUGACUUGAGUGCAGAAGGGGAGAGUGGAAUUCCAUGUGUAGCGGUGAAAUGCGUAGAUAUAUGGAGGAACACCAGUGGCGAAAGCGGCUCUCUGGUCUGUCACUGACGCUGAGGCUCGAAAGCGUGGGUAGCGAACAGGAUUAGAUACCCUGGUAGUCCACGCCGUAAACGAUGAGUGCUUGGUGUUAGGCCCUUUCCGGGGCUUAGUGCCGGAGCUAACGCAAUAAGCACUCCGCCUGGGGAGUACGACCGCAGGUUGAAACUCAAAGGAAUUGACGGGGGCCGCACAAGCGGUGGAGCAUGUGGUUUAAUUCGAAGCAACGCGAAGAACCU